GAUGAACGCUAGCUACAGGCUUAACACAUGCAAGUCGAGGGGCAGCAUGGUCUUAGCUUGCUAAGGCCGAUGGCGACCGGCGCACGGGUGAGUAACACGUAUCCAACCUGCCGUCUACUCUUGGACAGCCUUCUGAAAGGAAGAUUAAUACAAGAUGGCAUCAUGAGUUCACAUGUUCACAUGAUUAAAGGUAUUCCGGUAGACGAUGGGGAUGCGUUCCAUUAGAUAGUAGGCGGGGUAACGGCCCACCUAGUCUUCGAUGGAUAGGGGUUCUGAGAGGAAGGUACCCCACAUUGGAACUGAGACACGGUCCAAACGCCUACGGGAGGCAGCAGUGAGGAAUAUUGGUCAAUGGGCGAGAGCCUGAACCAGCCAAGUAGCGUGAAGGAUGACUGCCCUAUGGGUUGUAAACUUCUUUUAUAAAGGAAUAAAGUCGGGUAUGUAUACCCGUUUGCAUGUACUUUAUGAAUAAGGAUCGGCUAACUCCG
This 488-nucleotide ribosomal RNA is filed under the name uncultured bacterium. Its description in RNAcentral is "partial 16S ribosomal RNA". It matches the Rfam family "Bacterial small subunit ribosomal RNA", at positions 28 to 505 of the family's 1533-position model. The record is from RNAcentral.